GGAGGAGAAGGUGGAGUAGAAGGAGGAAUAGGAGGAGUAGGAUUGAAUAAGGGGAGGAGGGAGGAGGAGGAGAAGGUGGAGUAGGAGGAGGGGAAGGUGGAGUGGGAGGGAGGAAUAGGAGGAGUGGAAGGUGAAGUAGAGGGAGGAGUAGGAGGAGGAGAAGGUGGAGUAGAGGAGAGGAGAAAGAGGAGGAGAAGGAGGAG
Molecule: non-coding RNA, 203 nt
Organism: Pelobates cultripes (western spadefoot toad)
Lineage: Eukaryota; Metazoa; Chordata; Amphibia; Anura; Pelobatidae
Source: the annotation of a GenBank genome assembly